UCCGGAUUUAUUGGGUUUAAAGGGUGCGUAGGCGGCUUAAUAAGUCGGUGGUUAAAAGUAGCAGCUUAACUGUUUUACAUGCCAUCGAUACUGUUGAGCUUGAGAUAUUUGGAGGCAGCUAGAAUUUCCGGUGUAGCGGUGAAAUGCAUAGAUACCGGAAGGAAUACCAAUUGCGAAGGCAGGUUGCUACGAAUAAACUGACGCUGAUGCACGAAAGCGUGGGGAUCAAACAGGAUUAGAUACCCUGGUAGUCCACGCCGUAAACGAUGAUUACUAGUUGUUGGGUGAAUAGCUCAGUGACCAAGGGAAACCGAUAAGUAAUCCACCUGGGGAGUACGCCGGCAACGGUGAAACUCAAAGGACUUGACGGGGGUCCGCACAAGCGGUGGAGCAUGUGGUUUAA
This 403-nucleotide ribosomal RNA is filed under the name Lacihabitans sp. LS3-19. RNAcentral describes it as "bacterial SSU rRNA". It matches the Rfam family "Bacterial small subunit ribosomal RNA", at positions 544 to 949 of the family's 1533-position model. The record is from RNAcentral. Lineage: Bacteria; Pseudomonadati; Bacteroidota; Cytophagia; Cytophagales; Leadbetterellaceae.